RNAcentral lists this small nuclear RNA (234 nucleotides) under Erinaceus europaeus (western European hedgehog). RNAcentral describes it as "7SK RNA". It matches the Rfam family "7SK RNA". From Rfam's summary of the family: 7SK was discovered as an abundant small nuclear RNA in the mid-70s but a possible function has only recently been suggested. Two independent studies have found that 7SK RNA binds the CDK9/cyclin T complex (known as elongation factor P-TEFb). P-TEFb activates transcription by phosphorylating the C-terminal domain of RNA polymerase II. Lineage: Eukaryota; Metazoa; Chordata; Mammalia; Eulipotyphla; Erinaceidae. The record is from Rfam by way of RNAcentral.
UGGUGUAUGUAUUCUGGCUGCAACAUCUGUCACCCAACUGAUCAUUAAUGUUGGUUUGACUGAUUUGGCUGGAUGGGGGUGGAUUGUCACCCUCCUUCCUCACUGCUCCAUAUGCAUCUUUCCUAAAGCUGUGCUCUAGGUUCAAGAGGACCACGGCUAAAAGAACAGCAAAAACCGAAAGAUCAUGCUAGGGGAAAAUCAGAUGAAACAAUAAAGAAAGAACAUCCAGGACCU